Molecule: long non-coding RNA, 932 nt
Organism: Lolium rigidum
Lineage: Eukaryota; Viridiplantae; Streptophyta; Magnoliopsida; Poales; Poaceae
Exons: 5
Source: RefSeq, a predicted model, not a curated record
AAAAAUAACUUUGUAUAUGCUAAUAUGCACAUGACCAAGCAAUGGUGCAAAGGGGUCGGAAGCAUCACAACGACCACUCAUGGGUAAGCACCAACUAAUGGUUGACGGUACUUUCUGUGUUUCAGCAUAUGUCAUGGUAUGACUGCACGUUGUUCCCAGCAGGUUUUCCAAUCUGCAAACAAGCUACGGGAGGGAUGGUUGGAGUGUAGAGUUCCCCAAAAGCUUGCCAGCAGAAAGGGUUGUUUAGGUGGUAGUGGGGUACUUGCACUGGUUUAAGUUGUACUCCAGUAAGUGUGAUUCCUGAACAAGGUUCUUUUGUCACAAUAGAACUGGUCUAUCAUAAUAGGUGUUUGAACUUCAGAGACUUGUAUGUUUGAGAACCUCACGUCUUGAACCAGCCCUAUACCACCCUGCAAGGAGAAUUCAGUUUGUUUAGCUCAGUGUAUGCCGUCAGUGUUGAGACUGUUCUCAGGGGAGGAUAUUGUCAGGUCGUGGACCAGCACUCCUUGACAGUUGUCGAACUUGAGAUGGCACUGUGAGCUGUUGACAAUAGUGAUACCAGCCACUACGACGUUGGAACUACCAUAAAACCUCAAUGCCUGCAUCAGAGUUUAACCUGUGGCAUCCUCUCAAGCUCCUGAUUGUACUGCAAGAGUAUAUCCAAGGAAUGAAGCAUACUGUGCCAUUUGUUCACGAGUGGGGAUGGAUAACUUGGGCACCAGAUUUUGUGGAGAAACAAAACAACCAAUAUCCUUUGUAGCAUAUAUGCUCUCCUGUGGUCCAAGAGAUCACGUGCAAUUAGAGCGCGAGUGUGUCCAAUUUGGCAGCUAAUCCAAAGAAGAUGCAGAAUACUCUACCAGAAAAUGAUUAACCUAAGCGAGACCACCUUGCUGAUGUACGGAAUUACCUACUCAUGCUCCAAUUGGGCGAAA